Molecule: ribosomal RNA, 492 nt
Filed under: uncultured bacterium
Lineage: Bacteria
Description: partial 16S ribosomal RNA
Rfam family: Bacterial small subunit ribosomal RNA
Source: RNAcentral
AGUGAACGCUGGCGGUAGGCCUAACACAUGCAAGUCGAACGGCAGCACAGUAAGAGCUUGCUCUUACGGGUGGCGAGUGGCGGACGGGUGAGGAAUACAUCGGAAUCUACUUUUUCGUGGGGGAUAACGUAGGGAAACUUACGCUAAUACCGCAUACGACCUACGGGUGAAAGCAGGGGAUCUUCGGACCUUGCGCGAUUGAAUGAGCCGAUGUCGGAUUAGCUAGUUGGCGGGGUAAAGGCCCACCAAGGCGACGAUGCGUAGCUGGUCUGAGAGGAUGAUCAGCCAAACUGGAACUGAGACACGGUCCAGACUCCUACGGGAGGCAGCAGUGGGGAAUAUUGGACAAUGGGCGCAAGCCUGAUCCAGCCAUACCGCGUGGGUGAAGAAGGCCUUCGGGUUGUAAAGCCCUUUUGUUGGGAAAGAAAAGCAGCAGGUUAAUACCCCGCUGUUCUGACGGUACCCAAAGAAUAAGCACCGGCUAACUUCGUG